This 70-nucleotide non-coding RNA is filed under the name Stutzerimonas stutzeri MF28. RNAcentral describes it as "narK RNA". It matches the Rfam family "narK RNA". The record is from RNAcentral. Lineage: Bacteria; Pseudomonadati; Pseudomonadota; Gammaproteobacteria; Pseudomonadales; Pseudomonadaceae.
GGCACAGCUCCUGCUUAUCCCGAGACAGGUAGCCAAAGGCGGUUACUCACAGACAUGACAAAGGCGUCGC